GUCCGUGUAGCUCAGUUGGUAGGGUGUCGAUCUAGUAAUUCGAAGGUCGCGGGUUCAAGACCCAGCCGCGGUCU
Molecule: transfer RNA, 74 nt
Filed under: Paramuricea clavata
Lineage: Eukaryota; Metazoa; Cnidaria; Anthozoa; Malacalcyonacea; Plexauridae
Rfam family: tRNA
About the family: Transfer RNA (tRNA) molecules are approximately 80 nucleotides in length. Their secondary structure includes four short double-helical elements and three loops (D, anti-codon, and T loops). Further hydrogen bonds mediate the characteristic L-shaped molecular structure. tRNAs have two regions of fundamental functional importance: the anti-codon, which is responsible for specific mRNA codon recognition, and the 3' end, to which the tRNAs corresponding amino acid is attached (by aminoacyl-tRNA synthetases). tRNAs cope with the degeneracy of the genetic code in two manners: having more than one tRNA (with a specific anti-codon) for a particular amino acid; and 'wobble' base-pairing, i.e. permitting non-standard base-pairing at the 3rd anti-codon position.
Source: Rfam by way of RNAcentral